RNAcentral lists this ribosomal RNA (453 nucleotides) under Anastrepha punctata. RNAcentral's name for it is "partial small subunit ribosomal RNA". It matches the Rfam family "Bacterial large subunit ribosomal RNA", at positions 1811 to 2531 of the family's 2925-position model. The record is from RNAcentral. Lineage: Eukaryota; Metazoa; Arthropoda; Insecta; Diptera; Tephritidae.
AAACAUGUCUUUUUGUAUUAUAUAAAAAGUCUAACCUGCCCACUGAAUAAUUUUAAAUGGCCGCAGUAUUUUGACUGUGCAAAGGUAGCAUAAUCAUUAGUCUUUUAAUUGAAGGCUGGUAUGAAUGGUUGGACGAGGUAUAAGCUGUUUCAUAUAAAAUUAUUAUAGAAUUUUAUAUUUUAGUUAAAAAGCUAAAAUUUUAUUAAAAGACGAGAAGACCCUAUAAAUCUUUAUAUUUAAUAUUAUUUAAAUUUUAUAGAUAAAUUUUAUUUUUAUAAUAUUAAUUAUUUUGUUGGGGUGAUGUUAAAAUUUAAUAAACUUUUAAUUAUUUAAAAUCAUUAAUUUAUGAUUUAUUGAUCCAUUAAUAUUGAUUAUAAGAUUAAGUUACUUUAGGGAUAACAGCGUAAUUUUUUUUGAGAGUUCAUAUCGACAAAAAAGUUUGCGACCUCGAUG